This 254-nucleotide ribosomal RNA is filed under the name uncultured bacterium. RNAcentral describes it as "partial 16S ribosomal RNA". It matches the Rfam family "Bacterial small subunit ribosomal RNA", at positions 524 to 776 of the family's 1533-position model. The record is from RNAcentral.
UACGUAGGUGGCAAGCGUUGUCCGGAAUUAUUGGGCGUAAAGCGCGCGCAGGCGGUCCUUUAAGUCUGAUGUGAAAGCCCACGGCUCAACCGUGGAGGGUCAUUGGAAACUGGAGGACUUGAGUACUGAAGAGGAAAGUGGAAUUCCACGUGUAGCGGUGAAAUGCGUAGAGAUGUGGAGGAACACCAGUGGCGAAGGCGGCGAUCUGGGUCGAUACUGACGCUGGAGGUGCGAAAGCGUGGGGAGCAAACAGG